This 73-nucleotide transfer RNA is filed under the name Ovis aries (sheep). It matches the Rfam family "tRNA". Rfam says of the family: Transfer RNA (tRNA) molecules are approximately 80 nucleotides in length. The record is from Rfam by way of RNAcentral. Lineage: Eukaryota; Metazoa; Chordata; Mammalia; Artiodactyla; Bovidae.
UCCCUGGUGGUCCAGUGGUUAGGACUUCACAUUUUCACUGCUGAGGGCGAAGGUUCAAUCCCUGGUUGGGGAA